RNAcentral lists this ribosomal RNA (253 nucleotides) under uncultured bacterium. RNAcentral's name for it is "partial 16S ribosomal RNA". It matches the Rfam family "Bacterial small subunit ribosomal RNA", at positions 524 to 776 of the family's 1533-position model. The record is from RNAcentral.
UACGGAGGGUGCAAGCGUUGUCCGGAUUUAUUGGGUUUAAAGGGUGCGUAGGCGGAAUAUUAAGUCAGUGGUGAAAGCCAGCAGCUCAACUGUUGAACUGCCAUUGAUACUGGUAUUCUUGAAUUCAGUUAAGGUAGGCGGAAUUGAUGGUGUAGCGGUGAAAUGCAUAGAUACCAUCAGGAACUCCGAUUGCGAAGGCAGCUUACUGGGCUUGAAUUGACGCUGAGGCACGAAAGCGUGGGGAGCGAACAGG